RNAcentral lists this ribosomal RNA (491 nucleotides) under uncultured bacterium. RNAcentral's name for it is "partial 16S ribosomal RNA". It matches the Rfam family "Bacterial small subunit ribosomal RNA", at positions 29 to 507 of the family's 1533-position model. The record is from RNAcentral.
GUGAACGCUGGCGGUAGGCCUAACACGUGCAAGUCGAACGGCAGCACAGUAAGAGCUUGCUCUUACGGGUGGCGAGUGGCGGACGGGUGAGGAAUACAUCGGAAUCUACUUUUUCGUGGGGGAUAACGUAGGGAAACUUACGCUAAUACCGCAUACGACCUACGGGUGAAAGCAGGGGAUCUUCGGACCUUGCGCGAUUGAAUGAGCCGAUGUCGGAUUAGCUAGUUGGCGGGGUAAAGGCCCACCAAGGCGACGAUCCGUAGCUGGUCUGAGAGGAUGAUCAGCCACACUGGAACUGAGACACGGUCCAGACUCCUACGGGAGGCAGCAGUGGGGAAUAUUGGACAAUGGGCGCAAGCCUGAUCCAGCCAUACCGCGUGGGUGAAGAAGGCCUUCGGGUUGUAAAGCCCUUUUGUUGGGAAAGAAAAGCAGCAGGUUAAUACCCCGCUGUUCUGACGGUACCCAAAGAAUAAGCACCGGCUAACUUCGUG